This 1489-nucleotide ribosomal RNA is filed under the name marine metagenome. Its description in RNAcentral is "bacterial LSU rRNA". It matches the Rfam family "Archaeal large subunit ribosomal RNA", at positions 1454 to 2987 of the family's 2987-position model. The record is from RNAcentral.
UUAUCAGCCGAGGGUUAGCCGGUCCUAAGGUCAUUCUUAACCGAAAUGAUCGAAAGGGAAUUGCGUUAAUAUUCGUAAGCCCCUCUACAAUUAAUGGUAACGGCUUGGGCUAGUUUAUGCGCAUCUGUCAUGGUGCGUCGAAGCGUUCAAUAAUCGAAUGGAGAACCGUAAUGGUGAGAAGUUCGAGAAGGCGUGAGCAAAGAUAGAUGAGGCCUAGGUCCCAUGAAAAGCCGUAGAGGUGAUCGUACCAAGAUCUGACACAGGUACCCAAGGUGAGAAGCCUAAGGUGUGACGGGCAAAGUACCGCGAAGGAACUCGGCAAAAUCGCUCUGUAACUUCGGGAGAAGGAGUGCCAGGUUCGAGAGAACCUGGUCGCAGUAACAAGGGGACUCCGACUGUUUAAUAAAAACAUAGCCGACUGCUAGAUCGAAAGGUUGUGUAUAGUCGGUGAAUCCUGCUCAGUGCCGGUAUCUGAAAUCGGGUUUCAACCUGAUGAAGGACCGGUAAACAGCGGGGGUAACUAUGACCCUCUUAAGGUAGCGUAAUACCUUGUCGCUUAAUUGGCGACUUGCAUGAAUGGCCCAACGAGAGUCCUACUGUCUCCGCGGUACGUCCGGCGAAAUUGACAUUACUGGCGCACAGUCCAGUAACCUCAACCUGCAAGCGAAGACCCCAUAGAGCUUUACUGCAGCCUGGCGUUGUACAGUCGCACACUAUGUGCUGAGUAGACGGGAGAUGUUGAUCAUUUGGACGCCAGUCCAGAUGGGAGUCGUCCAUAGAGACACCGUCCUUAGUUUGUAACUGUACUAACUCUUAAUGAGAACACCGUUUGGUGGGCAGUUUGGGUGGGGCGCCACGCGCCCGAAAAUAUAACAGGCGUGCCCAAAGGUCAGCUUAGGUGGUUCAGUCUCCACCGUUAACCGUAAGGGGAAAAGCUGGCUUGACGUGGAUCGGACCAAUAACGAUCGACGAUGCGAAAGCAGGGCCUAACGAACCAAUCUACCUCAUUUAUGGGGGUGAUUGAUAACAGAAAAGUUACCUUGGGGAUAAUUGAGUUGUCACCAGCAAGAGCACAUAUCGACCUGGUGGCUUGCUACUUCGAUGUCGUCUCUUCCCAACCUCCUGGUGCAGCAGCUGGGAAGGGUGGGGUUGUUCGCCCAUUAAAGGGGAUCGUGAGAUGGGUUUAGACCGUCGUGAGACAGGUUUGUUGCUUUGUGGUUGAGGCGUAUCAGGUGCCUGAUCGGAAGGGCCCUUUAGUACGAGAGGAACGAGGGCUCGGAGCCACUAGUUUACCAGUUGUCUGGCAAGGCAAUGCUGGGUAGCCACGCUCCAGUGGAUAAGAGCUGAAAGCAUCUAAGCUCGAAGUCAUCCGAAAGACGAGGCAUCUCAGGGGACUCAUAGAAGAUGAGUUUGAUAGACAGCGGGUGUAAGUACCGAGGGUUCGCCCGAGGUAUUCAGCCCAGCUGCACUAACCCCCCGAGCAUUCAUC